This 325-nucleotide unclassified non-coding RNA is filed under the name Hevea brasiliensis (rubber tree). Lineage: Eukaryota; Viridiplantae; Streptophyta; Magnoliopsida; Malpighiales; Euphorbiaceae. The record is from RNAcentral.
GCCCUCAUUACUACUUCUAAAUCACAUAUUAACACCUGUAGUUUUGGAUCCCUGGAUAUGAAACCAACCCCAAGCUUGACCAAGGAUUGUCGUAUACUGAGUCUAAUUUCGCCAAUGGAUACACUUUCAACUGCACCCUUAUUGAACUUCACCCCGAUAUCUCUCAAGCAUUUCCAUCCUCCAACACGGAAUGAAACAGAUGCUCCCAUGGCUCGGCUUAGAAUCCACGCCAACAUGCGGGAAGCAAACACGAAAAUACUCCAUAGUAUUAUAGAAGCAAAUAGGAAUCCAAACAGAAACUUCGCCGGUGAAACAUCCAUGGCCG